GGACUGUACACAGGCUCGAGGUGAGUGG
This 28-nucleotide small RNA is filed under the name Bombyx mori (domestic silkworm). Its description in RNAcentral is "ovarian small RNA-17299". The record is from RNAcentral. Lineage: Eukaryota; Metazoa; Arthropoda; Insecta; Lepidoptera; Bombycidae.